Molecule: ribosomal RNA, 463 nt
Filed under: uncultured bacterium
Lineage: Bacteria
Description: bacterial SSU rRNA
Rfam family: Bacterial small subunit ribosomal RNA
Source: RNAcentral
GGACCCGCACAAGCAGCGGAGCAUGUGGUUUAAUUCGAAGCAACGCGAAGAACCUUACCAGGGCUUGACAUCCCUCUGACCGGCCGGUAAUGCGGCCUUCCCUUCGGGGCAGAGGUGACAGGUGGUGCAUGGUUGUCGUCAGCUCGUGUCGUGAGAUGUUGGGUUAAGUCCCGCAACGAGCGCAACCCUUGUCAUUAGUUGCCAUCAUUUGGUUGGGCACUCUAAUGAGACUGCCGGGGACAACUCGGAGGAAGGUGGGGAUGACGUCAAAUCAUCAUGCCCCUUAUGUUCUGGGCUACACACGUGCUACAAUGGCCGGUACAGAGAGAAGCAAUACUGCGAAGUGGAGCAAAACUCUAAAACCGGUCCCAGUUCGGAUUGCAGGCUGCAACUCGCCUGCAUGAAGUCGGAGUUGCUAGUAAUCGCGAAUCAGAACGUCGCGGUGAAUGCGUUCCCGGGUCUU